This is a long non-coding RNA of Homo sapiens (human), 2763 nucleotides long. Ensembl annotates it as family with sequence similarity 66 member D. Its record names the gene FAM66D. The record is from Ensembl. NCBI's taxonomy places the organism in Eukaryota, Metazoa, Chordata, Mammalia, Primates, Hominidae.
GAUCCGGGGCAGGCUCAGGACCAAGUCCCUCUCCUUCCACCAAGGAGCGCCCAGAGGCCGGCGGGAGCUCCAGGUUCACCUCCUCCUCCUCCAGGAAAUCCCACUUCCAACUGGAUGUCUGGAUGAACUACUGAAAGCUGCUGAGUGUCCUGCAGCAGGCCAUUUCCAAUCCAGCGGAAGACCUUCUAGAAGAGAUGAUGGUGGGAGAGUGCUGACAUACUAUGUGAAGCUACUAUUUGGAGUUGGACACGAGUGCAUGUGUCCUUGUGCCACAACGGGAAUGUGAGCUGGAUGACAAAUGGAGAUUUGGACUUGUGAUAAUUGGCCUCUGUGUCAUUGUGUGGAAGACUGACUGGUCCCUUUAUUUCCUGUAGCUUGACUACAACACAAAUGAAUCCACUCAAAUGUUGGCAAGUGGAGCAGAGUCCCAGAACAGGUAAGGCACUUUCCCUGCUUUUUCUUAAGAUCAAUCCUCAUGCCUACAAAUUAAAGUCACAUCCCACACGAUCAUUAAAGUAGAGAGUGCAUUCUGCAGGAUGAGUGAAAAGGCAUUUAUGAUUCUUGGGGGCAGAUGUUCUACAGUUGCCUGUGCUAGUUCAUGUCUUUCUGCAGAUCACAUUCUUAACCUCUAGAGAGUCUGGCAGGACCAGAGCCUUACCUUUCCCAGUCUGCAAUCUCUACAGGUACAGAAACACCCCCAGUUCAAGGAUCUUCACACCUGGAUUUAGGCCUACUCCUGCAACUACCCCAGGUAAGUUUCCUUGUUCUUCAAUGGCAAAGUUUGGACAAUGCUGUUCAAACUCCAGGCAACAAGCAACAUCUAGGGAAUGUGCUUUUAGGUAGGGUCAGCAUAAUAUCCCACCCUGGGAGACAUUUUUAUUUUAAAGUUGUAGAGGGUGUUGCUGCUGUCGGCUCCCUGCCAAUCAGCACCAUUUGCAGCCUCUUUUGAAGACAGAGAACUGAGGGCUGUCCUUCGAAUGGAGCAGUGUGAUUCCAAAAAAAGAGAUGCUCCUUGUGGUCCUGGGACCAGGGAUAGGACUCCAGUUGAGCCUGGUGGAAGAGGUCCUUGUCCUACCCCAACGGAGAGCCAUGCAGCUGAGCUUGGGCGAUGUGGUCCACGUGGUUGUUUCUGAGUGUGUCCUGAGGUUGCAGGAUGGCUUGCAGUUCCCUAUGCAGAUCCAAUGCAUCUUUUGCUUUUUUGCUUCUACAACCUGGAAUUUAUAUGUUCAAGAUGGAGCCAUCCCAGCCAUGACAACAGAGAAUGUACCACUCUCACUUGAGGAAGAGGGGUAGGCAGUGCUCCUGUAUCACCAGCCCUUAAUGAGACCCUGAGGAAACCACAUCAUGGAGAUCAGCCCUUCUCUCCUGUAAGGAACUCAUCCUAUGAAAGAGCAAUUAGUGCCUGCAAGAGCUGUCUCUGGGACAGCGGUUCAUGUCUAUAUCUGCAGGGUAACCCUCAUAGUCAUAUGCAGUCAUAUCCAUAGUCAUAUCGGGAGUCAGAUUCCAGUUUGACUGAGUGAGUGGAGAAACUAAACAUUUAUUACUGAAUAAUAACAUUAAUAAACCAUCUUAAUGAUAGUAAUAAUAAACAUAUUGAUGAGUAUUAACAGGAAUGAUGAUGAUUAUUAUGAUACUAAUAUCCAUAAUUAACAAUUUUAAUAUUGAUAAUAAUACAACCCUGUGGACUUGGGACCUAAACAGCAGUUUCCCCUUACAAUUAUCCCAUAUUUGGCCACAGGGGGUAAUGUUGAGUUCCAGAAGGCAAGGAUUAACAUUCAGAAAAUAGGAAAAACAACCUGCAGGUAAGCAUGUGCACACAUUGGGACUCUAUGGAUAAAUACUAAAGUGACUCUUGUUCUGGAUCUCCAUGCUAACAAACAUGCACCAGCUUUCAGGAGGUAGUACAGCUGGCUGAUGGGGCAAGGCUUCUUGAGGACAUGGCAGGAGUCAGAAAUCACACAUGCUGCCCAGCAGCAGAGCUCAUGACAAACAGUAAACCCCAGCGAAAGGACCUGGCUGCCCUUUCUGCCAUCUGCUCUCCCAUGACCUCUCUUGACUGGUACAUCUAGGCACUGGAAUAACCUUCACUGGCUAUAGGAGGGCAUAAUCCUCAGUAUUCUCCCACCUGCAAGAAAGACAAAAAUUAAUUGAAUACCAUGGCUUCUGGGUAUCCUUAGUGGGCUUAGCGUAUUUUGCAUUUGCUUUAACAGGCCAGUUAUCCAGGCAGUGACUUUCAGUGCAGCUACAGUCACCUCUGGAAACCUGUGGAGACUUUAAAAAUUUCCAAAAGGUCAGGAAUUUUUGGAGACCUUUCUCAUGGCUACGUUUCCUGCAAACGUGAAUCAAUAAGCUUCUGAACUGACUUAGAAAAUGUUGCAGAGACUCUUGUGAACAGAUAGACCCUCUCCUGCCACUCAGAUAGAUGUAUCUGGGUCACACACACCUGAUUUAACAUCUCAUUAUCUCAGGUGGGCAACAGACAGCAAUUUAGGACCUAUCCCAGUGUGGAUGAAAGACAUUGAGUUGGCUUAGAAAAAUGUUAGAUAGACUAGAUGGGGCAAGAAAGCCCAUUCUGGGGCUCAAAAGCCUUCACAUAGAGUUGCUGACACAUAAAGGGUAUGUAUAAAUUCUUUCUCAGACCAUGAGAUCAGGAUGUACUUCAUCAGUAUACCAUGCUGGUAUAAAGAGAUUCUUGCCUCCAAAGGGACUCAGAAUAUUUCAGGGAACCUGUAUUAGUCCAUUUUUACACUGUUGUAAAGACAC